AACGAACGCUGGCGGCAGGCCUAACACAUGCAAGUCGAGCGCCCUUUCGGGGGAGCGGCGGACGGGUGAGUAACGCGUGGGAAUAUGCCCUUCUCUACGGAAUAGCCUCGGGAAACUGAGAGUAAUACCGUAUACGCCCUGUGGGGGAAAGAUUUAUCGGGGAAGGAUUAGCCCGCGUUGGAUUAGGUAGUUGGUGGGGUAAUGGCCUACCAAGCCGACGAUCCAUAGCUGGUUUGAGAGGAUGAUCAGCCACACUGGGACUGAGACACGGCCCAGACUCCUACGGGAGGCAGCAGUGGGGAAUCUUAGACAAUGGGGGCAACCCUGAUCUAGCCAUGCCGCGUGAGUGAUGAAGGCCUGAGGGUUGUAAAGCUCUUUCAGCUGGGAAGAUAAUGACGGUACCAGCAGAAGAAGCCCCGGCUAACUCCGUG
This 431-nucleotide ribosomal RNA is filed under the name uncultured bacterium. RNAcentral describes it as "partial 16S ribosomal RNA". It matches the Rfam family "Bacterial small subunit ribosomal RNA", at positions 29 to 507 of the family's 1533-position model. The record is from RNAcentral.